Molecule: long non-coding RNA, 1459 nt
Filed under: Crocodylus porosus (Australian saltwater crocodile)
Lineage: Eukaryota; Metazoa; Chordata; Crocodylia; Crocodylidae
Description: lncRNA (ENSCPRG00005005687.1)
Source: RNAcentral
AAUCGGCUCCUCUGGAGGCGUUUCCGGUGUCGCUCUUCCGGUGACGCCACCACCACGGCCUUCCCCACACACAACAUGGCGGCGCCCGUGUUGCUGCCCGCGGGGUCGGCCCUGGGCAAGCUGAGCCAUAAACAAUAUAGAGCUGUUCUGAAGAAAGAGAAAAGAAAGAAAAGGAGACGAGCACUAGCCAGAUUGAGAGAUUCCGAAAUCACAGAAAAAGAUGAAACAUUGCCUGAUGAGGAAGAACUAGAAGAAGAGGAAAAAAAGCUUGAUGUUGAAAGGCAAAAACUACAUGAGGAGUGGUUGUUGAGAGAAGAAAAGGCUCAAGAAGAGUUUAAGAUCAAGAAGGAAAAGGAAGAGGCAGCAAGAAGACGUCAAGAAGAGGAGGAGGUGAAAUAUAAAUUGAAGACCAUUUUUAAGUGUGCCAUAGUGUCACGCAAAGCCAAGGGAAAUUGUUAAUAUCUGUUUUGGUACUGGAGCAGACAAAGCAUUCUUGAAGUAGAUUUUUUUUAAUUUGUAAUCUCUCUUUUUUUUAAUAUUGAUCUUUAAAAAAAUACCCAAAGUUUUGGAUUUCCUUUACAUAUCUGAACACUAAAAGCAAGAGUUUCAGCACAUAACAGAGUUGAUGGUUUUGGAUUUAACUGUUGUCUUCUCAUUCAUUUACAAGAUUGUUUUUUGAAAGACUUCAUAAAGUAUUUAUUUAAUCUUUUAACAAGAAAAUAAGCACUCUUUCUUUUUUUUUUUUUUUUAUGAAGCGAAAGAUCAGAGAAGAAUGGGAAGAACAGCAGAGGAAAGAGAGAGAAGAGAAGGAGCAGAAACAACAGGAGAAAAGAGAGAGAGAGGUGAUUCCUGCACUGGGAGGAUAAACACACUGCAUAUCCUCUCACAGUACCAGACGUUGCAAUCUGCAAUUGUGUACCAGAGUCAAAAUCCAGUUAGCCUUUUUGCAUCUGCUAAUUAUUUGUAGUCCCCGUUUGUUUAUUUCUAAUUAACAAAUUAUUUCUGAGACCUGAAAAUAUAUCUUGGAUUCAUAAUAGUGUAAUCUGAAUCCAUGUUGCUGGAGAAGAUAAUUAAUUUACUGUAAGAUUAGUCUUUUAGUUUGCGUAGCAAUGUACAGCUAAUUGUGCAGCUAAUUAUCUCUUACAUAAUUAUUUACAUCAGGCAAAUAUGAAGGUCUGUUGUCAGUGCUAUUUUUCACGUGUGUACUUACAAUGUGAUACAUUAAAGACCAAUUUAUCUUAGUAUUGCAAGUGUUCCCCAUAAGACAUCUGAACAAACUUAGUAUAAUUAUUUUUAAGGAAUUCCUGGUGCUGAUUUAGAAUUGUAUUACUGCUGUUCCUUAACAGUGUUCUUAAUCAAAAGAUGUUACAGCUCCUCUUUACCUGGCUCAUUCAUCAGGAUGUAUCUUUUUUCAUAAAUUCGGGGGUAUGGAAGAAAACAGUGUGGAAAAUUGCUAUUG